This 1101-nucleotide ribosomal RNA is filed under the name Cervus nippon hortulorum (Ussuri sika deer). RNAcentral's name for it is "12S ribosomal RNA". It matches the Rfam family "Bacterial small subunit ribosomal RNA". Lineage: Eukaryota; Metazoa; Chordata; Mammalia; Artiodactyla; Cervidae. The record is from RNAcentral.
CACAGGUUUGGUCCCAGCCUUCCUAUUGACCCUUAAUAGACUUACACAUGCAAGCAUCCACACCCCAGUGAAAAUGCCCUCCAAGUUAACUAAGACUAAGAGGAGCUGGUAUCAAGCACACAUCCGUAGCUCACGACACCUUGCAUAGCCACACCCCCACGGGAGACAGCAGUGAUAAAAAUUAAGCCAUAAACGAAAGUUUGACUAAGCCAUAUUGAUCAGGGUUGGUAAAUUUCGUGCCAGCCGCCGCGGUCAUACGAUUAACCCAAGUUAAUAGGCAUACGGCGUAAAGCGUGUUAAAGCACUAUACCAAAUAAAGUUAAAUUCCAAUUAAGCUGUAAAAAGCCAUAAUUGCAACAAAAAUAAACAACGAAAGUAACUUACAGCCGCGAACACCGAUAACCCCUCACACAGGGUUAUAGGGGAUACGGGCGUAAGCGUGUUAAGCACUAUACCAAAUAAAGUUAAAUUCCAAUUAAGCUGUAAAAAGCCAUAAUUGCAACAAAAAUAAACAACGAAAGUAACUUUACAGCCGCUGAAACACGAUAGCUAGGACCCAAACUGGGAUUAGAUACCCCACUAUGCCUAGCCUUAAACACAAAUAGUUAUGUAAACAAAACUAUUCGCCAGAGUACUACCGGCAAUAGCUUAAAACUCAAAGGACUUGGCGGUGCUUUAUACCCUUCUAGAGGAGCCUGUUCUAUAAUCGAUAAACCCCGAUAAACCUCACCAUUCCUUGCUACUACAGUCUAUAUACCGCCAUCUUCAGCAAACCCUAAAAAGGUACAAAAGUAAGCACAAUCAUAAUACAUAAAAACGUUAGGUCAAGGUGUAACCUAUGGAACGGAAAGAAAUGGGCUACAUUUUCUAAUCUAAGAAAAUCCAACACGAAAGUUAUUAUGAAACUAAUAACCAAAGGAGGAUUUAGCAGUAAACUAAGAAUAGAGUGCUUAGUUGAAUUAGGCCAUGAAGCACGCACACACCGCCCGUCACCCUCCUCAAGUAGGUACAAUACACUCAAACUUAUUUACACGUAUUAAUCAUAUGAGAGGAGAUAAGUCGUAACAAGGUAAGCAUACUGGAAAGUGUGCUUGGAUAAAU